This 417-nucleotide unclassified non-coding RNA is filed under the name uncultured Sebacina. RNAcentral's name for it is "sequence contains ITS2". The stretch from base 1 to 154 matches the Rfam family "5.8S ribosomal RNA". The record is from RNAcentral. Lineage: Eukaryota; Fungi; Basidiomycota; Agaricomycetes; Sebacinales; Sebacinaceae.
AACUUUCAGCAAUGGAUCACUUGGCUCUCGCAUCGAUGAAGAACGCUGCGAAAUGCGAUAAGUAAUGUGAAUUGCAGAAUUCAGUGAAUCAUCGAAUCUUUGAACGCACCUUGCACCCUUUGGCAUUCCGAAGGGUAUGCUCGUUUGAGUGUCAUUGUACUCUCACACUCCCGAUGCUUUUGGAUUGGGAGUGGUGGACUUGGGUGUUGCUGCUUUACUGUGGCUCACCUCAAAUGGAGUAGUGCAACUCUUGGUUGGACAUAGUACGGCGUGAUAAGUGUCUUCGCCGGCGCCUCAUUAGAGGGUGGCCGAUCGGGAGCUCUGUGCUUCAAACCGUCUUCGGACAACAUCUGACAACUUGACCUCAAAUCGAGUAGGACUACCCGCUGAACUUAGGCAUAUCAAUAAGCGGAGGCU